GGGCAGCACAGGUAGCAAUACUGGGUGGCGACCGGCAAACGGGUGCGGAACACGUACGCAACCUUCCUUUAAGCGGGGAAUAGCCCAGAGAAAUUUGGAUUAAUACCCCAUAAGAAUGUGGAAAGGCAUCUUUCAGCAUUUAAAGAUUUAUCACUUAAAGAUGGGCGUGCGUCUGAUUAGGUAGUUGGUGAGGUAACGGCUCACCAAGCCGACGAUCAGUAACUGGCGUGAGAGCGCGACCAGUCACACGGGCACUGAGACACGGGCCCGACUCCUACGGGAGGCAGCAGUAAGGAAUAUUGGUCAAUGGACGGAAGUCUGAACCAGCCAUGCCGCGUGGAGGAUGAAGGCCCUCUGGGUUGUAAACUUCUUUUAUCUGGGACGAAACACUCUUUUUCUAAGGAGCUUGACGGUACCAGGUGAAUAAGCACCGGCUAACUCCGUGCCAGCAGCCGCGGUAAUACGGAGGGUGCAAGCGUUAUCCGGAUUCACUGGGUUUAAAGGGUGCGUAGGCGGACACUUAAGUCCGUGGUGAAAUCUCUGGGCUUAACCCAGAAACUGCCAUGGAUACUAUUUGUCUUGAAUGUUGUGGAGGUUAGCGGAAUAUGUCAUGUAGCGGUGAAAUGCAUAGAUAUGACAUAGAACACCAAUUGCGAAGGCAGCUGGCUACA
This 671-nucleotide ribosomal RNA is filed under the name Chitinophaga sp. R153-1. RNAcentral describes it as "bacterial SSU rRNA". It matches the Rfam family "Bacterial small subunit ribosomal RNA", at positions 67 to 733 of the family's 1533-position model. The record is from RNAcentral. Lineage: Bacteria; Pseudomonadati; Bacteroidota; Chitinophagia; Chitinophagales; Chitinophagaceae.